This 615-nucleotide ribosomal RNA is filed under the name uncultured bacterium. Its description in RNAcentral is "bacterial SSU rRNA". The stretch from base 1 to 537 matches the Rfam family "Bacterial small subunit ribosomal RNA", at positions 338 to 873 of the family's 1533-position model. The record is from RNAcentral.
CCUACGGGAGGCAGCAGUGGGGAAUUUUGGACAAUGGGGGAAACCCUGAUCCAGCAAUGCCGCGUGUGUGAAGAAGGCCUUCGGGUUGUAAAGCACUUUUGUCCGGAAAGAAAACUUCUGCCCUAAUACGGUGGGAGGAUGACGGUACCGGAAGAAUAAGCACCGGCUAACUACGUGCCAGCAGCCGCGGUAAUACGUAGGGUGCGAGCGUUAAUCGGAAUUACUGGGCGUAAAGCGUGCGCAGGCGGUUCGUUAAGACAGAUGUGAAAUCCCCGGGCUUAACCUGGGAACUGCAUUUGUGACUGGCGAGCUAGAGUAUGGCAGAGGGGGGUAGAAUUCCACGUGUAGCAGUGAAAUGCGUAGAGAUGUGGAGGAAUACCGAUGGCGAAGGCAGCCCCCUGGGCCAAUACUGACGCUCAUGCACGAAAGCGUGGGGAGCAAACAGGAUUAGAUACCCUGGUAGUCCACGCCCUAAACGAUGUCAACUAGUUGUUGGGUCUUCAUNUACUAGUACGUAGACUACGCGUGAGUGACGCCGUGGGAGGUACGGUCGCGAGAUAAACUACAAGAGAGUAGACGNGNGAGAGCGACGACGACGACGACGGAGGGAGGAGG